This 377-nucleotide ribosomal RNA is filed under the name uncultured eukaryote. RNAcentral describes it as "partial 18S ribosomal RNA". It matches the Rfam family "Eukaryotic small subunit ribosomal RNA", at positions 592 to 976 of the family's 1831-position model. The record is from RNAcentral.
CAAUAGCGUAUAUUAAAGUUGUUGCAGUUAAAAAGCUCGUAGUUGGACUUCUGGUCUAGAUGAGCGGUCCACCGCAAGGUGAGCACUGUUUGUUUGGACCAUCCUCUCGGAGUUGGUGAGUGCCAUUAACUUGGUGUUUAUCGAACCCGAGACCUUUACUUUGAAAAAAUUAGAGUGUUCAAAGCAGGCCUACGCUUGAAUACAUUGGCAUGGAAUAAUGGAAUAGGACUUUGGUUCUAUUUUGUUGGUUUCUAGGACCGAAGUAAUGAUUAAUAGGGACAGUUGGGGGCAUUCGUAUUUAAUUGUCAGAGGUGAAAUUCUUGGAUUUAUGAAAGACGAACUACUGCGAAAGCAUUUGCCAAGGAUGUUUUCAUUAA